GGAGUAGGAAAGCCGGUGGGAAAAAGCAGAGGACGAGCGGAGGCGCAUUCAUGAGCUCCCUGUACGAUAUCUCCUGCUUCGCUGCCGGCGUUGCUGGUAAUCUCCUUCGCCUCUCCGCUUCCGAAUUCUCAGUUGUUCUCAAGAGUGGUUAAGCUGAAAGUUCUUCCUUCAAUUUUGGUCCGCCGUUGCAGGAAACAUCUUCGCCCUCGCCCUCUUCCUGUCGCCGGUGUAAGCUACCAAACUGAUUUUUUUUUCCUCUUUGUUUUUCAUUUCUCUCCUGCUCGUUUAUUUCGUCGAUCUGAUCAUGGCGUUGCUGUUCGAUUGGUGGAUGCCAGGCCGACGUUCAAGAGGGUGGUGAAGGCCAAGUCGACGGAGCGGUUCGAUGGGCUCCCCUACCUGCUCUCCCUGCUCAACUGCUGCAUCUGCCUCUGGUACGGCCUCCCCUGGGUCUCCGACGGCGGCAGGACCCUCGUGGCCACCGUCAACGGCACCGGCGCGCUGUUCCAGCUCGCGUACAUUUCGCUCUUCAUCUUCUACGCCGACAGCAGGAGCACACGGGUAAUUCUUUCCUUGCCGACUUGCCGUCCUCAACUACACCAGCUUCAGUUCGGAAAAGAGACCCGAAGAAUUGUGCUGGUUCUUUGCCGUGUCUGACUGACCGACACGAGUAAGAUGGACCGCACAAUUUUGUCUGUGGAAGCUGUUUUCUUUCUUCCAUUUCUGCAAUAGACGAUGUUUGCGUGGAUAAUGAGACCUGUUCUUCGUCCUCUCCACAGUUAAAGAUCACGGGGAUCCUGCUGCUCGAAGUCUUCGUGUUCGCGUUCGUUGCGCAUGCGAGCAUCGCCUUCUUGGACCAGCCGGCCCGGCAGCUGUUCAUCGGCGGCGUGAGCAUGGCGUCUCUGAUCUCCAUGUUUGCCUCCCCACUGGCCGUCAUGGUACGCUUUCCUAAGCUGAGCGCUCGAUUGAUUUCUUCCUCGUCUAACUUUGCCGCCGGACGAAAUGACCACCUCUCACGGCUUUUGCGUGUUUCGUCCUGGUUCUUCAGGGUUUGGUGAUCCGGACCGAGUGCGUGGAGUUCAUGCCCUUCUACUUGUCCCUCUCCACCUUCCUCAUGAGCGCCUCCUUCACAAUGUACGGGCUUCUGCUGCGUGAUUUCUUCAUAUACGUGAGCACCCGAUUCGUUCUCAUUUCAGCUUACGCUUUCAUGAACUGAUUGUCGAACUUAUUUGGUAGAUGCGUUCACCGAGAGUUCGGUUAACCAACUUUUGAGUUUUGAUGUUGAUUUUUCAGGUCCCCAAUGGGAUUGGAGUCAUCCUGGGAGCAAUGCAGCUGGUGCUGUACGCUUACUACAGCAGGAAAUGGAAGAGCAGUGAACCUUCUGCACCGUUGCUCGCCUGAGCAAAACCGACUUGAUCAGUCAGCUGGUUGCUCUCCGUUGCUGGGAUUCAGAAAAGAGGGGGGUGACGGUUUCUUGAAGGAGAGUCUAAGAGGGAGAUGUUACUACUUGCUAGUGGCAGUCUAUACGUUGUUUUGUCCUGGUCACUGUGCUGUACAUUGUUGGCUUUGUGCCCCGUCAUUUCUCUUCACGUAUUUGUAGUGAAA
This 1602-nucleotide long non-coding RNA is filed under the name Setaria viridis. RNAcentral describes it as "long non-coding RNA (SVIR_LNC006025)". The record is from RNAcentral. Lineage: Eukaryota; Viridiplantae; Streptophyta; Magnoliopsida; Poales; Poaceae.